AUGCGUAUGUUGAGAUGGAUGUGUGGCCACACGAGGAAGGAUCAAGUCCGGAAUGAUGAUAUACGAGAUAGAGUUGGGGUAGCACCAAUUGAAGAGAAGCUUGUCCAACAUUGUUUGAGAUGGUUUGGGCAUAUUCAGCGCAAGCCUCCAGACGCUCCAGUGCAUAGCGGACGGCUAAAGCGGGCGGAGAAUGUCAGGAGAGGUCGGGGUAGACCGAAUUUGACAUGGGAGGAGUCUAUUAAGAGAGACCUGAAGGAUUGGAGUAUCACCAAAGAACUAGCUAUGGACAGGGGUGCGUGGAAGCUUGCUAUCUAUGUGCCAGAGCCAUGA
RNAcentral lists this ribosomal RNA (330 nucleotides) under Triticum aestivum (bread wheat). RNAcentral describes it as "partial small subunit ribosomal RNA". The record is from RNAcentral. Lineage: Eukaryota; Viridiplantae; Streptophyta; Magnoliopsida; Poales; Poaceae.